This 253-nucleotide ribosomal RNA is filed under the name uncultured bacterium. Its description in RNAcentral is "partial 16S ribosomal RNA". It matches the Rfam family "Bacterial small subunit ribosomal RNA", at positions 524 to 776 of the family's 1533-position model. The record is from RNAcentral.
UACGUAGGGGGCAAGCGUUGUCCGGAAUCAUUGGGCGUAAAGCGCGCGUAGGCGGCCAGAUAAGUCCGGUGUGAAAGUCACAGGCUCAACCUGUGAAUGCCGCUGGAAACUAUCUGGCUAGAGUCCGGAAGGGGCGAGUGGAAUUCCUGGUGUAGCGGUGAAAUGCGCAGAUAUCAGGAGGAACACCUAUGGCGAAGGCAGCCCCCUGGGCUAACACUGACGCUCAGGCACGAAAGCGUGGGGAGCAAACAGG